Molecule: long non-coding RNA, 366 nt
Organism: Mustela lutreola (European mink)
Lineage: Eukaryota; Metazoa; Chordata; Mammalia; Carnivora; Mustelidae
Exons: 3
Source: RefSeq, a predicted model, not a curated record
GGAACCACCUCUGCUGACAACUGGAUCUGGAUCGCUAACCUCCAGAACCGUGAGAAAAGACAUUUGCCCUAUUCAAGGCCACUGAACUUGACUCCAUGAUCACCUUUAACAACAUGACCUCAGGAACACCACUGCCAGUUCUCGCACUAGAAGUGGACCGUCAUCUUGUUGGCCAUGCACAGACAGGCAUGCUACCUAACGGCAUUACAGACUCAAGUCGUUCGCACUGUUCAGACCCCACCUAAAAGUUCCUGUGAAGAGAGGAGUCCCCAGUCAUAUCUGCUUUCAAACAUGCCCACAUUUCUAAUGGGUACCUUCAUCUCAUGGGACUACUUUCCCUUCCUUGUACAAUAAAGUUGAUUUGCU